GACGAACCGUGCAAACGUUAUUCGGAAUCACUGGGCUUAAAGGGCGCGUAGGCGGGCCGCCAGGUCCGGGGUGAAAGCCUCCAGCUCAACUGAAGAAGUGCCUUGGAUACCGGCGGCCUCGAGGGAGGUAGGGGCGUGCGGAACUUCGGGUGGAGCGGUGAAAUGCGUAGAUAUCCGAAGGAACACCGGUGGCGAAAGCGGCGCGCUGGAUCUCUUCUGACGCUGAGGCGCGAAAGCCAGGGGAGCAAACGGG
RNAcentral lists this ribosomal RNA (253 nucleotides) under uncultured bacterium. RNAcentral describes it as "partial 16S ribosomal RNA". It matches the Rfam family "Bacterial small subunit ribosomal RNA", at positions 524 to 776 of the family's 1533-position model. The record is from RNAcentral.